Molecule: ribosomal RNA, 495 nt
Filed under: uncultured bacterium
Lineage: Bacteria
Description: partial 16S ribosomal RNA
Rfam family: Bacterial small subunit ribosomal RNA
Source: RNAcentral
GAUGAACGCUGGCGGCGUGCUUAACACAUGCAAGUCGAACGAAGCACUUGAAACGGAUUCUUCGGAUGAAGUUUCCUGUGACUGAGUGGCGGACGGGUGAGUAACGCGUGGGUAACCUGCCUCAUACAGGGGGAUAACAGUUAGAAAUGGCUGCGAAUACCGCAUAAGCGCACGGCAUCGCAUGAUGCAGUGUGAAAAACUCCGGUGGUAUGAGAUGGACCCGCGUUGGAUUAGCUAGUUGGCAGGGUAACGGCCUACCAAGGCGACGAUCCAUAGCCGGCCUGAGAGGGUGGACGGCCACAUUGGGACUGAGACACGGCACAGGCUCCUACGGGAGGCAGCAGUGGGGAAUAUUGCACAAUGGGGGAAACCCUGAUGCAGCGACGCCGCGUGAGCGAAGAAGUAUUUCGGUAUGUAAAGCUCUAUCAGCAGGGAAGAAAAUGACGGUACCUGACUAAGAAGCCCCGGCUAACUACGUGCCAGCAGCCGCGGUAA